AUGUGGCAGCUCUCUUUGGCCAGAUAAUUGGGAAUUUGGGCGCCAUUCUCCUUCUUCCUACAUACGCUUCUUCAAUUUAGUUUCAUCGUGCCUCUACCAUCACUCUUUCUUCGUGCCUUCCCAUGGAUGUUGACUUAGAAGUUCAAAUCUUUGAAUCGAGGAUAAGUUUAUUUGAAUCUGUGGUAACUUUUUUUAGAAUCGAUUGAUCAGAUCAGAUCACUCCGUCACUCACAAAGUGAUUAUACUGUUCGAUGGUCGCAAAGCAUGUCCCGAUGGUGUUGCACUACGAGAUUGUAUAG
Long non-coding RNA from Helianthus annuus (common sunflower), 299 nucleotides. RefSeq lists it as uncharacterized. The transcript has 3 exons. The record is from RefSeq and is a predicted model, not a curated record. NCBI's taxonomy places the organism in Eukaryota, Viridiplantae, Streptophyta, Magnoliopsida, Asterales, Asteraceae.